Molecule: ribosomal RNA, 292 nt
Filed under: uncultured bacterium
Lineage: Bacteria
Description: partial 16S ribosomal RNA
Rfam family: Bacterial small subunit ribosomal RNA
Source: RNAcentral
GUGCCAGCCGCCGCGGUAAUACAGAGGUCCCGAGCGUUGUUCGGAUUCACUGGGCGUAAAGGGUGCGUAGGUGGCAUGGCAAGUUUGAUGUGAAAGCUCAGGGCUUAACCCUGAAAUGGCAUUGAAUACUGCUGUGCUGGAGGUUUGGAGGGGGGACUGGAAUUCUUGGUGUAGCAGUGAAAUGCGUAGAUAUCAAGAGGAACACCAGUGGCGAAGGCGAGUCCCUGGACAACACCUGACACUGAGGCACGAAAGCCGGGGGAGCAAACAGGAUUAGAUACCCGCGUAGUCC